Molecule: ribosomal RNA, 253 nt
Filed under: uncultured Acidobacteriota bacterium
Lineage: Bacteria; Pseudomonadati; Acidobacteriota
Also listed under: 1 other name
Description: uncultured Acidobacteria bacterium partial 16S ribosomal RNA
Rfam family: Bacterial small subunit ribosomal RNA
Source: RNAcentral
UACGUAGGCAGCAAGCGUUGUUCGGAGUUACUGGGCGUAAAGAGUGCGUAGGUGGUUCUUUAAGUUCGGUGUGAAAUCUCCCGGCUUAACUGGGAGGGUGCGCCGGAAACUGGAGAGCUCGAGUGUGGGAGAGGAAAGCGGAAUUCCUGGUGUAGCGGUGAAAUGCGUAGAUAUCAGGAGGAACACCGGCGGUGUAGACGGCUUUCUGGACCACUACUGACACUGAAGCACGAAAGCGUGGGGAGCAAACAGG